Molecule: ribosomal RNA, 650 nt
Filed under: uncultured Actinomycetes bacterium
Lineage: Bacteria; Bacillati; Actinomycetota; Actinomycetes
Description: bacterial SSU rRNA
Rfam family: Bacterial small subunit ribosomal RNA
Source: RNAcentral
GCCUAUCAGCUUGUUGGUGAGGUAACGGCUCACCAAGGCGACGACGGGUAGCCGGCCUGAGAGGGUGACCGGCCACACUGGGACUGAGACACGGCCCAGACUCCUACGGGAGGCAGCAGUGGGGAAUAUUGCACAAUGGGCGCAAGCCUGACGCAGCAAGGCCGCGUGAGGGACGACGGCCUUCGGGUUGUAAACCUCUUUUAGUAGGGAAGAAGCGAAAGUGACGGUACCUGCAGAAAAAGCACCGGCUAACUACGUGCCAGCAGCCGCGGUAAUACGUAGGGUGCAAGCGUUGUCCGGAAUUAUUGGGCGUAAAGAGCUCGUAGGCGGUCUGUCGCGUCUGCUGUGAAAACCCGAGGCUCAACCUCGGGCCUGCAGUGGGUACGGGCAGACUAGAGUGCGGUAGGGGAGAUUGGAAUUCCUGGUGUAGCGGUGGAAUGCGCAGAUAUCAGGAGGAACACCGAUGGCGAAGGCAGAUCUCUGGGCCGUAACUGACGCUGAGGAGCGAAAGCGUGGGGAGCGAACAGGAUUAGAUACCCUGGUAGUCCACGCCGUAAACGUUGGGCGCUAGAUGUGGGGACCAUUCCACGGCUUCCGUGUCGCAGCUAACGCAUUAAGCGCCCCGCCUGGGGAGUACAGCCGCAAGGCUA